GACGAACGCUGGCGGCGUGCUUAACACAUGCAAGUCGAACGGUGAAGGGACCGGUUUUUGCUGGUUCUGGAUGAGUGGCGAACGGGUGAGUAACACGUGAGUAACCUGCCCCCUUCUUCUGGAUAACCGCAUGAAAGUGUGGCUAAUACGGGAUAUUCUGCGCCUGCUGCAUGGUGGGUGUGGGAAAGAUAUUGUUUCGGUGGGGGAUGGGCUCGCGGCCUAUCAGCUUGUUGGUGGGGUGAUGGCCUACCAAGGCGGUGACGGGUAGCCGGCCUGAGAGGGUGGACGGUCACACUGGGACUGAGACGCGGCCCAGACUCCUACGGGAGGCAGCAGGGGGGAAUAUUGCACAAUGGGCGCAAGCCUGAUGCAGCGACGCCGCGUGAGGGAUGGAGGCCUUCGGGUUGUAAACCUCUUUCGCCAGUGAAGCAGGCCUGUCCCUUUUGUGGGUGGGUUGACGGUAGCUGGAUAAGAAGCGCCGGCUAACUACGUG
RNAcentral lists this ribosomal RNA (493 nucleotides) under uncultured bacterium. Its description in RNAcentral is "partial 16S ribosomal RNA". It matches the Rfam family "Bacterial small subunit ribosomal RNA", at positions 28 to 507 of the family's 1533-position model. The record is from RNAcentral.